UGCAGAGGGUGCAAGCGUUAAUCGGAAUUACUGGGCGUAAAGGGUGCGUAGGUGGUUUGUUAAGUCUGAUGUGAAAUCCCCGGGCUCAACCUGGGAAUGGCAUUGGAUACUGGCAGGCUAGAGUGCGGUAGAGGGUGGUGGAAUUCCCGGUGUAGCAGUGAAAUGCGUAGAGAUCGGGAGGAACACCUGUGGCGAAGGCGGCUUUCUGGGCCUUACCUGACGCUGAGACGCGAAAGCGUGGGGAGCGAACCGG
This 253-nucleotide ribosomal RNA is filed under the name uncultured bacterium. RNAcentral describes it as "partial 16S ribosomal RNA". It matches the Rfam family "Bacterial small subunit ribosomal RNA", at positions 524 to 776 of the family's 1533-position model. The record is from RNAcentral.